Molecule: long non-coding RNA, 1672 nt
Filed under: Daphnia magna
Lineage: Eukaryota; Metazoa; Arthropoda; Branchiopoda; Diplostraca; Daphniidae
Description: uncharacterized LOC116921703
Source: RNAcentral
CGCUCAUUUUGGGAAUAAUGUCAUAUUUUUCAUUUUACAAUAUUUUGAAACCUCACUUCAUCCUUUUGUUUUAUCUACAAUUUAGGUUUUAUAUUAUCCUACCGUAAUCUGGUAAGACAAAAAGAGAUUACUCGUAAUCUAGGCCACUUGCGAAGUUAGAAAAUUUAUAUAUUUAUGGAGGACUACUUGUGGAAUUUUAAGAAAAUGGUGUUCCCUAGGCAUUCAAUUAUAGUCUUGAUAAGAUAUAAGGAACUGAAAUAGACCAGUCAAACUGGCAAUUCUCAGUAGGAUCACAAACUAAAAAGCAUCUAUCAUCGGUCUGUGGUAGAAUUUUGUUCGUGUGGAACAUAAUGUGGCAGAUGAUGGUGAAUCAUGGUGGGCCCUUGACUGACAUAGUAUCUUGAAACACACUUCCCUUGAAAUCGUAAGGAAGUUUAUAGAUUGCAGAGUCAGAGAACAAUGUGGGGAAUCUGAUAUUCAAGCCCUCGAAACCCCAGCUGCUCUUCUGCUUCAACAAGGCUAUAAAGCAAUUGUAAUUUCAGGAGGUCCCAGUGGGGCAUCCCAGUUUAUGCAGCGGGUGCAGCACAAUACGACCCAGCAGUCUUUACUUGCGAUCUUCCACUGCCGGGAAUUUGUUAUGCAUGCAAUUACUCAACAGGGAAUAAGGUGGAACGGGGGAGAGAAAAGAUGUUCGCAAAGAUGGGCAAUUCAAGAUCCAAGUAGAAACGGAGUGCCCAUUGUUUAAAGGCUUAGAGACUCUGCAAAUGGUAUUAUGACCCAUGGUGACAGCGUAGACAAGGUUGCGUUGCGUCGCAAAAUCUUCGCGUCACAAUAUUUCCGCUAUUGCUGAUAUUACCGAAUCCAGUUCCAUGAUUUGACUGAAAACGGACGAAAAAUGUUGCAUAACUUCUUAUUUGAUAUCUGUGGAUUGCAAAGAGGUUUCACAUUGGAGAAACGCGAGCAGCAGUGUAACGAUUACAUCCGGCGCACGGUCGAACGUGAUCAUGCUGGUAAGCAGCGGAGUCAAUUCCGCCGUUUGUGCUGCACUUCUACUGGGUGGCGACUCGUCGCGAGUGCUGGCCAUCAAUAUCCAUAACGGUUUCCUGCGUGCGGAAGAAGAGCGUCUUCUUCUGGAAGAACUGUCCAGUCACAGCCAGUAUGUUGCCACGCUACUGCCUAUUCGCACUGUUGGUGUUCAGGUGAAGGAGGUUACAGAAAAAUGUGUCGGGUACGGGUUUGGCAAAAAAAGCAUAGGAAAAACCGCCACAUUUUUCUGUAAUAUACUGUAGAACAGAUUCGCAAUUUAGACGUUUUCGUAAUAAUGCCGCGAUCGUAAUCAGCUCUUAUUCAAGGGAGACGAUAGGUGCCACCGUAUCUACGCCAAGGUAUUUUUUUUUUCUUGUCUAGAUCUUUUAAUGGCCAGUGGUAUGUCCUUGAUGCUCGUCUUAUCGAAACACUUGUUUACAUUUUUUGUUGUUGAAAAAUUGUGUCAUUUAUGACAAAAGGUCUUUGUGAUCAUGGCUAAUGGUUUGAGCCGGAUACCAACGACUAUGGCACCUGCCCCACUUCGCCUUGCCCAGAAAGCAAAUGCAACGGUCGCCACAUCUACUGGAAGUCAACAUCAAACUCUGACGGUGGCUGUUAUAAAUCGUUCACACGUGGGCGUUGAGCA